Long non-coding RNA from Mauremys reevesii (Reeves's turtle), 1089 nucleotides. RefSeq lists it as uncharacterized. The record is from RefSeq and is a predicted model, not a curated record. The transcript has 3 exons. Lineage: Eukaryota; Metazoa; Chordata; Testudines; Geoemydidae.
GUGUGCUGCUGGAGGACUAAGGAGUACAAGUGUUAUCAGACACCAGGAGGAAAGUCCUGUGGCAAAGGAGCAUUACGCAGCAGAGAAUGGCGCCACAGCAGUAUUCCUACAUGGCAAAAUCCUGGGCUCUACUGCCGAGCACACGAGUUGACAAAGGGAACAAUAGGAGGGAAGAGUUCUAAACUGAGCUCUCAACAGAGUGCUAGUUCUGGCACAGAAGUGUGAACAACAGUGCACAUCAAAGUGACGCACUAUAACUCACCUGCACAGACAUCGUUGGCAUGAACUAAAAAGUGUGGACAAUCCUAAGGAAAAUUCAUAUUUGUGACUCUGGAAGAUAAGUUAUAAUUACAAAUGCAUUUGAGAUAAUUGUACUAUUGCAAAAUUUUUGAAAAAUAAAUUGGUUUAUAAAGUACAAAUGUUAACCCAAAUAUAAAAGGUAUUGUCAGUAAAAAAAAAACCCACCUCUUUUAAUGAAAGUGGAUCAAGUCUUUGAUCUGAAGAACAAUAACUCAUAAAAAGCAAACAUUUUCCCAUCUUCCUCCAGUGUUUGCUCAAGUAAUUAAUUAAGUUAACUGUCAAAGUCUGGAAAUCUGGUUAACAACUCACAUUUGUUGGAAACAAUUAGCUCUUUAAUGUAAAGUGAGUAGACAGACAGAUUAAAUAUGCCUCAAUCCUGGCCAUGAGGGACCACCUCUAGGGACUUGUUUACACUAGGCCCUGCUCCACACUACAAACUUAUCACAGUAUAACUGUGUUGCUCAGGAAAAUCCUCACCUCUGAGUGACGCAGUUACACCAACCUAAUUCCCAAUGUAGACAGCACUAUGUCGACAGGAGAGGAGGGCUUCUCCCACCAACGUAGCUACUGCCUCUUUGGGAUCUGGAGUACCUAGGCCAACAGGAGAAGCUCUCCCAUCAGCAAAGGUAGCAUCUUCACUAAGUGCUACAGUAGCACUCUUAUUGUGGACAAGCCCAAGGAAAAUGACCAAUUGCUUCCAACAUGUAACUUUAAAUAGUGCAAAUGAAGUGAAGUGCUGUACAUGUGUUACUCCUUUUUGACCCAAGCAGUUAGCUAAAACAAUCAGGG